This is a long non-coding RNA of Acinonyx jubatus (cheetah), 261 nucleotides long. RefSeq lists it as uncharacterized. The transcript has 2 exons. The record is from RefSeq and is a predicted model, not a curated record. Lineage: Eukaryota; Metazoa; Chordata; Mammalia; Carnivora; Felidae.
AGAUUUUCUACUGAGAAUUGCUACUGCUUCAAAGUUAAGAAUGAAAAAAGAAUCCCGAGUCUUGCCAAUUGUAGGUCUCAGAAUUUCUGGGCAUCCAAAUCUGAUUGUGAAAUCCUGGAGAGAAAGAAGUCGUCAAGGUAAAUGCUUUCUUAUGGACAUUCUUGGCCACCAGCCAUUUGGCCACUUCUAGUAAUACUGGAAAUCAGUAGAUACUACCUUGGUAUUUGAUAUUUAGACAAUAAACAUUCAGUUACCACCCUC